This 440-nucleotide ribosomal RNA is filed under the name uncultured bacterium. RNAcentral describes it as "partial 16S ribosomal RNA". It matches the Rfam family "Bacterial small subunit ribosomal RNA", at positions 339 to 795 of the family's 1533-position model. The record is from RNAcentral.
CUACGGGCGGCUCCAGUGAGGAAUAUUGCACAAUGGGGGGAACCCUGAUGCAGCAACGCCGCGUGGAGGAUGACGCAUUUCGGUGUGUAAACUCCUUUUAUAUGUCAAGAAAAUGACGGUAGCAUAUGAAUAAGCACCGGCUAACUCCGUGCCAGCAGCCGCGGUAAUACGGAGGGUGCAAGGCGUUACUCGGAAUCACUGGGCGUAAAGGACGCGUAGGCGGGUUGGAAAGUCAGGUGUGAAAUCCUACAGCUUAACUGUAGAACUGCACUUGAAACUUCUAAUCUAGAGUAUGGGAGGGGGAGAUGGAAUUAGUGGUGUAGGGGUAAGAUCCGUAGAUAUCACUAGGAAUACCUAAAGCGAAGGCGAUCUCCUGGAACAUUACUGACGCUAAGGCGUGAAAGCGUGGGGAGCAAACAGGAUUAGAUACCCGCGUAGUC